GUUAAUUUUGCAAAUUAGAAUUAAGAUAGAAUCUAAUUAGGAUUUAUAUUUUUUAAAUUUGUAGAAUUUUAAAAUGAAAGAAAAAUAAAGAAAGAAAGAGCAAGAAGAGAAAGGGCCAAUUUUGUUGCAAAAGCAAACUGGGUCGUUCUAUUAAGCUCAAUUCCCUUUUUACCCAGCCCAAUCCCGCCAAUUUCAUAUCCGGUCCAACCUCAUUUAAACUAAACGACGCCGUUUUAGUAACGGCAAUCUUGGCUGUUCAUUUCCCCAAUCCAACGGCCCUCAACUCACCACCAUUCCCCUUUAUAAUUAUCCGAAACUAGACCCCCCCUCCCUCCCCACCCCUCACUCACCCACACUACUCUCUCUCCACACNCCCCCCCCUCCCCCCCCCCCAAACCCUAGACUCCACAUAACUCGUCUCUCUCACACUUUCUCACCUCCGCCGUCCGCCACCCACAGGAAAUCGCCUACAGCGGCGGCGACACCCCAAACCACCCCAAAAUUGACACCAAAUAAUCUCUAACACCCCCUAAUCAUCAUCCUACCACCAAUUUCCCCAAAAUCCCCACCCAUCUUCUCCAAUUUCGGAUCUAAGAAAAUCAGAAAACCUAAAUAUGGUUUUUUCCCCGGAAAUUUCAAGUAUGUUUUGGUUCAAACUUACAUGAGUCAAUUGCUCUUGACACGAGCAAUCGAUUCAUGUUAGUUUGGUUCAUUUCGAAGCUCAUCGGAUUCUGGCCAACCCACCACUGACCGGUCAAGUUUCAUCGCCAUCGUUCGUUGAUUCGCCUCAAUCAUCGACUCAGCUUUUGGCCCAAAAUCAGUAAACCCCUUCUCUCUUGUUCCUUUGCUUCUUUUUUCUAAUUAUCAGUUAGGUUUAAUUUUUGAUUGUUUUGUUUGAUUGAUAGGAUUAUCUAGUUAAUUACAUGUUAAUUAGUUUUAAUUGCAUAAGUUGUUGGUUUAAUCAAUUUUAAGUAAUUAGAUGUUAAAACAAGUUAAUAGCUAAUUGGUUUGGUUUUACAUUAUUGCUUUUGUUUUAGCAAUGGGUUGUUUAUCAUUAUCCAUAAGUUUAAAAGGGACGUUUGGAAUUGGAAAUGGGUAGUUGAGUCUAUUGUUGAACUUGUUUGCUCUUCUGGGGUAGCUGUUUGUAAUUAACAAAAACUAAAGGAGUCAAAGGGAUCUGGAAAAUUAGGAAAUCUGGUUUGGUUGUUUGGGGAAGUCUCUAGAAGGGACUAAAGUGCAGGCAAAAACAUAUAGAGAAUAUCUGGAUAAGACAACUGUCCCAACAGCUCUCCAUUUUCAGUUUUAAAAGAUGCUUUUUUCCUGAAAUUUAGGAGUGGCCUGCUGAGAAUUAUUCCUCAUCCUUAGGAGCACAUGUCAGAUUUUAUUCCCUAUAUAUAGACCUCUUAUUUUUCACAGAUGAGGAAUACUCAGCUUCAUUCCUCUCCAAAUACAAUCAAGAAUAGACACAGAUUUUAGAAGGAAUUCUCUGAAAAUUGGAUCCUCUUUUCAUUUUUUCUGAGACUGCUUUCUUCUGGAGAAUACUGAAAAAUUCCAACGAGUCUUUUUCUCUGUUAAAUUGGCUAUAUAAAUUCUGGUUUGCUUCAAAAGAGUAUGAGAUAUCUAAAAUCUUUUGCUGUCAUUCUGCUCGUUUGGAAGAGAUUUAAGGUUGUUUUCUCUGGUUUGCUGCUGUUGAAUACUGGCUGAUUGGUAGUUGAUCUUCAUAUCUGGUUUUUCUUUGACCUUUAUUUGGUCGUGGAUCUAAUGUUUGAUUUCAAGUUACUAGGUAUGUGACUAUACCUUUGUAUUUUGCUGUUAAGAUGUUAAUCGAAAAUCUGAGUUACAUGUUAGUUUGUGAAUCCAUGUUAUUUGAUAUGAGAUUUAUCCACACUGAGUGGUCCAGUUGUGAUGUGUUUGUUGUCUCUGCAUUAUGAAGUUAGUAAUCCUGAUUGUUUUCAAUAUGUUUCUGCAUUUGUUUGUUUGUUUGGUUGAUAUUUGAAAUGCAUUUGAAUCCAGCCCUGUUGGAAAUCUUAUUUUGAUUAUCGUUUGGGACUGGUAAGUUAUGCAAAGGAUGUGAGAGCUUAUGGAGUCAGUUGAAGAUGUGAUGAUUGGGGUUCAAAAUUGUGAAAUUCCAACUUUGAGAUUCUUCUGUUCGUAACUCUGAGUUAGUCAUUUUAGAUUAGUUGUUCAAGCUAUGAUGUAACUCUUACUAUUAACCUCUCUUAGAUAGGUUUGAAGCAUGUAAAUGAACGAACUAUCCGUGUGCUGAAUCCAAUUUCUUUCGGUGCAUGAAGAGCGUUAUUUUAGGAUUUGUGUUGUCCUUUGCAUAAAUGGCGAGCUUUUGGGCCAGACUUGUACAGGCAGCCCAGUAUGGACAAGUCUGGACAUCUCAGGUGCUUUAACUUGGGAUGUUGAACCCAAUUUUCGUUUGUUCUGUUUCAUUUUGUGUAUUUCUCUUCUUAUAAUAAUAGCAGCUUAAUUAAUCUGCUUCUUUCCAAUUGAUGUGAACAAGUAAAUGCUUAGCCGUUUGCUUUAGGCGCGUUUAAAUAAAUCAUCGUGACUAUAGAUAUGGUUCCCGUGGCAUAGUCAUGAUACGUAAUCCCCAAUUCGAGUGCACAUUUCAUGUGACCCGACCCUAACUUCAAACAAUAAUAAAAAU
This 2656-nucleotide long non-coding RNA is filed under the name Nicotiana tabacum (common tobacco). RNAcentral describes it as "long non-coding RNA (NTAB_LNC000969)". Lineage: Eukaryota; Viridiplantae; Streptophyta; Magnoliopsida; Solanales; Solanaceae. The record is from RNAcentral.